RNAcentral lists this small RNA (148 nucleotides) under Pongo abelii (Sumatran orangutan). Its description in RNAcentral is "Metazoan signal recognition particle RNA (ENSPPYG00000030584.1)". It matches the Rfam family "Metazoan signal recognition particle RNA". Rfam says of the family: The signal recognition particle (SRP) is a universally conserved ribonucleoprotein. It is involved in the co-translational targeting of proteins to membranes. The record is from Rfam by way of RNAcentral. Lineage: Eukaryota; Metazoa; Chordata; Mammalia; Primates; Hominidae.
GCCGGGCGUGGUGGCGGGCGCCUGUAGUCCCAGCUACUUGGGAGGCUGAGGCAGGGGAAUCGCUUGAACCCGGGAGGCAGAAGUUGCAGUGAGCCAAGAUCAUGCCACUGCACUCCAGCCUGGGCGACAGAGCGAGACUCUGUCUCAA